RNAcentral lists this transfer RNA (93 nucleotides) under Actinomadura coerulea. RNAcentral describes it as "tRNA-Arg". Lineage: Bacteria; Bacillati; Actinomycetota; Actinomycetes; Streptosporangiales; Thermomonosporaceae. The record is from RNAcentral.
CCGGCGGUGGCCCGCGCGUUCGCGGCGGACGUCGCCGCGGGCGGCGGCGAGGUCAGGCUCGGCUUCGAGGUCGUGCGGAUCGGCCGGGCGGGC